RNAcentral lists this ribosomal RNA (495 nucleotides) under uncultured bacterium. Its description in RNAcentral is "partial 16S ribosomal RNA". It matches the Rfam family "Bacterial small subunit ribosomal RNA", at positions 28 to 507 of the family's 1533-position model. The record is from RNAcentral.
GACGAACGCUGGCGGCGUGCCUAAUACAUGCAAGUAGGACGCUGAAGGAGGAGCUUGCUUCUCUGGAUGAGUUGCGAACGGGUGAGUAACGCGUAGGUAACCUGCCUGGUAGCGGGGGAUAACUAUUGGAAACGAUGGCUAAUACCGCAUAAGAGUAGAUGUUGCAUGACAUUUGCUUAAAAGGUGCAAUUGCAUCACUACCAGAUGGACCUGCGUUGUAUUAGCUAGUUGGUGAGGUAACGGCUCACCAAGGCAACGAUACAUAGCCGACCUGAGAGGGUGAUCGGCCACACUGGGACUGAGACACGGCCCAGACUCCUACGGGAGGCAGCAGUAGGGAAUCUUCGGCAAUGGACGGAAGUCUGACCGAGCAACGCCGCGUGAGUGAAGAAGGUUUUCGGAUCGUAAAGCUCUGUUGUAAGAGAAGAACGAGUGUGAGAGUGGAAAGUUCACACUGUGACGGUAUCUUACCAGAAAGGGACGGCUAACUACGUG